RNAcentral lists this ribosomal RNA (398 nucleotides) under uncultured bacterium. RNAcentral describes it as "bacterial SSU rRNA". It matches the Rfam family "Bacterial small subunit ribosomal RNA", at positions 361 to 776 of the family's 1533-position model. The record is from RNAcentral.
AUAUUGCACAAUGGGGGAAACCCUGAUGCAGCGACGCCGCGUGAGUGAAGAAGUAUUUCGGUAUGUAAAGCUCUAUCAGCAGGGAAGAAAAUGAUGGUACCUGAUUAAGAAACCCCGGCUAACUACGUGCCAGCCGCCGCGGUAAUACGUAGGGGGUAAGCGUUAUCCGGAUUUACUGGGUGUAAAGGGAGCGUAGACGGCAGCACAAGUGUGGAGUGAAAUGCCGGGGCUUAACCCCGGAACUGCUUUGGAAACUGUGCAGCUAGAGUGCAGGAGAGGUAAGUGGAAUUCCUAGUGUAGCGGUGAAAUGCGUAGAUAUUAGGAGGAACACCAGUGGCGAAGGCGGCGUACUGGACUGUAACUGACGUUGAGGCUCGAAAGCGUGGGGAGCAAACAGG